UGCCUGAUGGAGGGGGAUAACUACUGGAAACGGUGGCUAAUACCGCAUAACGUCGCAAGACCAAAGAGGGGGACCUUCGGGCCUCUUGCCAUCAGAUGUGCCCAGAUGGGAUUAGCUAGUUGGUGAGGUAACGGCUCACCUAGGCGACGAUCCCUAGCUGGUCUGAGAGGAUGACCAGCCACACUGGAACUGAGACACGGUCCAGACUCCUACGGGAGGCAGCAGUGGGGAAUAUUGCACAAUGGGCGCAAGCCUGAUGCAGCCAUGCCGCGUGUAUGAAGAAGGCCUUCGGGUUGUAAAGUACUUUCAGCGGGGAGGAAGGUGUUGAGGUUAAUACCUUUGCUCAUUGACGUUACCCGCAGAAGAAGCACCGGCUAACUCCGUGCCAGCAGCCGCGGUAAUACGGAGGGUGCAAGCGUUAAUCGGAAUUACUGGGCGUAAAGCGCACGCAGGCGGUCUGUCAAGUCAGAUGUGAAAUCCCCGGGCUCAACCUGGGAACUG
This 501-nucleotide ribosomal RNA is filed under the name Shigella sonnei. Its description in RNAcentral is "bacterial SSU rRNA". It matches the Rfam family "Bacterial small subunit ribosomal RNA", at positions 127 to 623 of the family's 1533-position model. Lineage: Bacteria; Pseudomonadati; Pseudomonadota; Gammaproteobacteria; Enterobacterales; Enterobacteriaceae. The record is from RNAcentral.